GCAAUAGCGGAUGGCACCCUUCCCCCAUUGCCAGGCUAGCGGCAGCCAUUUUGAAAACUACAAAGUCAAAGAGUGCAUCUACACAUGCAAAACAUCAUUUUUGUAAAGUUUCAUUAAGUUUGGAGCAUUUUGAAAAUUUUGAAUUUUUUGCUGUUUCCAUGGUAACGGCGGCCAUUUUGAAAAUUCCAAACUCAAAAGUCAAGUCUACAUAAGCUAGGCAACAUUUGUUAUAAGUUUCAUUAAAUUUAAAGCAUUUUGAAGUUUUUCAUAUUUUUGCUGUUUCCAUGGUAACGGCGGCCAUUUUGAAUAUUCCAAUGUCAAACCCCCGCUGCAAUUUUUUCCCUCCAUAAUCAUAUACCAUUUAAUGUCUCUAGAAUAAAUUUAACAUUAAUGUUCUGGAAUGUUCUUUGAAAAUUCAAAGUUUUGACCUUUUUGCAUUGUUUCCAUGGUAACAACAGCUAUUUUGGAAAUUCCAACGCCAAAUGCCACAUCUUCCAAUGUUGCUCAUCGUUACUGUGAAGUUUCGUGAAGUUUGGAGCAUUUUGAGAUUUUUGAAAUUUUUGGUGUAGUUCCCAUGGCAACAUAGUAGUUCCAAUGAGUGCCAAAAUCAUCCAACACCUGUAUAUAGUGGGCACCUACAUUGUAUUAAAAUAUGAUGAUUCUGAGUUAAAGCAUUACCAAACAGUUCACCAAAACUAAAAACUGUAUUUUUUCACAUUUGUUUCUGUUUCCAUGGUAACGGCAGCCAUUUUUUACCAUUCCAAUGUCUCUUGCACAACUCCACAUGGCGGUUCAUAUUAUGGUAUAGUUCCAUCAACAUUGGUCUGCCCAAUUCUGAGAAAUAGUAUGGACAAAAUGUGUGGAAGAAUAAAAAUAAUAAUAAUAAUAAAAAGAAAAAAAAGAAACGAACAAUAACAAGAUGUCACCCCAACUCCGUUGAGGGUGCCAUAAAAAAAGAAACGUAGAAUAACAAUAUGUCACCCCAACUCCGUUGAGGGUGCCAUAACUAGAUUUGUAAUUGCUAGCAAUAACGGAUGGCACCCUCGUCCCCCAUUGCCAGGCGAGCGGCAGCCAUUUUGAAAUUUCCAAAGUCAAAGAGCGCAUCUACAGAUGUCUAUCAACAUUGUUGUAAAAUUUCAUCAAUUUUGGAGCAUUUUGAAUUUUUUGAAUUUUGUGUUGUUUCCAUGGAAACGGCGGUCAUUUUGGAAAAUUCCAAAGUCGAAUACCAACUCUUGAUGUGCCACUUAACAUGUCUGUCAAUUUUCAGAAAGUUUGGAGCAAUUUGAAAUUUUUGGACAUUUCUGCUGUUUCCAUGGUAACGGUGACCAUUUCCAAAAUUCCAAAGACACCUACCACAUUGGCACAUGAUAAGGAACAUACCAUUAAAGUUUCAAUGGUUGGAUAUACCAUAUUAAGAGUUUAAAUACUACUUUAAGAUUUUCCCCAUAGGGUUUAAUGCUAAACAUAUUUAGUUUCCAUGGCAAUAUAGUAGUUCCAAAGAUUCCCAAAAUCAUCUCAAACCUGUAUAUGGUGGACACCAACAAUAUAUAAAAAUUUGAUGAUUUUCAGUUCAGGAAUAUUCAAAUUAUUCACCAAAAACCAAAAAAAUAUUUUUUACAUUUGUUCUGUUUCCAUGGUAACGGCGGCCAUCUUGCACAUGCCAAAGUCUGCUGCACAACUUCACAUGGUGUUCCACAUUGUGGUAUAAUUCCAUCAACAUUGGUCCAUUCAAUUCCGAGAAAUAGCGUGGACAAAAUGUGUGGAAGAAUAAAAAUAAUAAGAAAACUAGAUUUGUAAUUGCUAGCAAUAACG
Molecule: long non-coding RNA, 1812 nt
Filed under: Mytilus galloprovincialis (Mediterranean mussel)
Lineage: Eukaryota; Metazoa; Mollusca; Bivalvia; Mytilida; Mytilidae
Source: RNAcentral